GCAGACACAUUCCAGCCAAUCAGCAGCAGACCCUCCCUCCCAGACCUUCCCACCUCCUGGACAGCUCAUUGUGAAGCUGCAUUCAAUGAUGCUGUCCAGGAGGUGGGAGGGUCUGGGAGGGAGGGUCUGCUGCUGAUUGGCUGGAAUGUGUCUG
RNAcentral lists this microRNA precursor (154 nucleotides) under Pelobates cultripes (western spadefoot toad). The record is from RNAcentral. Lineage: Eukaryota; Metazoa; Chordata; Amphibia; Anura; Pelobatidae.